GCCAACGUGGUAUAGUGGUUUGAGCACUGGACUACAAAUCUGGAGAUCUGGGUUCAAUUCCCUGCUUUGCCA
Molecule: non-coding RNA, 72 nt
Organism: Phrynosoma platyrhinos (Desert horned lizard)
Lineage: Eukaryota; Metazoa; Chordata; Lepidosauria; Squamata; Phrynosomatidae
Source: the annotation of a GenBank genome assembly